GAUGAACGCUGGCGGCGUGCCUAAUACAUGCAAGUCGAGCGAACGGACGAGAAGCUUGCUUUUCUGAUGUUAGCGGCGGACGGGUGAGUAACACGUGGAUAACCUACCUAUAAGACUGGGAUAACUUCGGGAAACCGGAGCUAAUACCGGAUAAUAUUUUGAACCGCAUGGUUCAAAAGUGAAAGACGGUCUUGCUGUCACUUAUAGAUGGAUCCGCGCUGCAUUAGCUAGUUGGUAAGGUAACGGCUUACCAAGGCAACGAUGCAUAGCCGACCUGAGAGGGUGGGAGCCCCCCCGGGAAGGUGACCCGGCCCAGCACGCGUGCGGGAGGCAGCAGAGGGGACUCGUCGGAAGUGGGCGAAAACAUGACGGAACAGCACGGGGGGAGUUGUAGAGUUCUUGGGUUCGUAAAAUUCUUUUAUUGGGGAAAAACAGAGGUAUAAUUAACUGUACAUAUCGUGACGGUACCUAACAAAAAAGCCCCGGCUAACUACGUG
RNAcentral lists this ribosomal RNA (497 nucleotides) under uncultured bacterium. Its description in RNAcentral is "partial 16S ribosomal RNA". It matches the Rfam family "Bacterial small subunit ribosomal RNA", at positions 28 to 507 of the family's 1533-position model. The record is from RNAcentral.